This 484-nucleotide ribosomal RNA is filed under the name uncultured bacterium. Its description in RNAcentral is "partial 16S ribosomal RNA". It matches the Rfam family "Bacterial small subunit ribosomal RNA", at positions 899 to 1397 of the family's 1533-position model. The record is from RNAcentral.
ACUCAAAUGAAUUGACGGGGGCCCGCACAAGCAGCGGAGCGUGUGGUUUAAUUCGAGGCUACGCGAAGAACCUUACCUGGGCUUGACAUACAGGUGGUACCAACCCGAAAGGGAAGGGACCUUCGGGAGCCUGUACAGGUGCUGCAUGGCUGUCGUCAGCUCGUGCCGUGAGGUGUUCGGUUAAGUCCGAAAACGAGCGCAACCCCUGGCCGUAGUUACACGUAUCUAAGGCGACUGCCCGGGGUAACCGGGAGGAAGGUGGGGAUGACGUCAAGUCAGCAUGGCCUUGAUGUCCAGGGCGACACACACGCUACAAUGGCGACCACAAUGGGCAGCCAACCCGCGAGGGGGAGCCAAUCCAGCAAAGGUCGUCUCAGUUCGGAUUGCAGGCUGCAACUCGCCUGCAUGAAGUUGGAGUUGCUAGUAACCGUGGGUCAGCCACACUACGGUGAAUACGUUCCCGGGCCUUGCACACACCGCCCGU